GUCGUGCUUGUGACAACACCUUACACACACACACACACACACACACACACACACACACAUGUAAGAGUUAUCAC
This is a non-coding RNA of Pangasianodon gigas (Mekong giant catfish), 74 nucleotides long. NCBI's taxonomy places the organism in Eukaryota, Metazoa, Chordata, Actinopteri, Siluriformes, Pangasiidae. The record is from the annotation of a GenBank genome assembly.